This 466-nucleotide ribosomal RNA is filed under the name uncultured bacterium. RNAcentral describes it as "bacterial SSU rRNA". It matches the Rfam family "Bacterial small subunit ribosomal RNA", at positions 330 to 793 of the family's 1533-position model. The record is from RNAcentral.
UCCAGACUCCUACGGGAGGCAGCAGUGAGGAAUAUUGGUCAAUGGGCUUACGCCUGAACCAGCCAAGUCGCGUGAGGGAAGACUGCCCUAUGGGUUGUAAACCUCUUUUGUCAGGGAGCAACGCCGGCUACGUGUAGCCGGACUGAGAGUACCUGAAGAAAAAGCAUCGGCUAACUCCGUGCCAGCAGCCGCGGUAAUACGGAGGAUGCGAGCGUUAUCCGGAUUUAUUGGGUUUAAAGGGUGCGUAGGCGGAUUUGUAAGUCAGCGGUAAAAAUGCGGUGCUCAACGCCGUAUCGCCGUUGAAACUGCAGGUCUUGAGUGAGCGAGAAGUAUGCGGAAUGCGUGGUGUAGCGGCGAAAUGCAUAGAUAUCACGCAGAACUCCGAUUGCGAAGGCAGCAUACCGGCGCUCAACUGACGCUGAGGCACGAAAGCGUGGGGAUCGAACAGGAUUAGAUACCCCCGUAG